AAGGCUGUGAUUUUUAAAAACAAUGAACCAAUGACUAAGAUCAGUGUUUUUCAAGUCUGGGGUAAUAGUCACAUAUAAAGGAACUCUUUAAUUUACCUCUUUUUAAAACAGCUCUAGAUUUAUAAAUUUGCUCUGCAAAUUAGUGAGGGCAAAUGUGCAUUUUCCUUUCAUUUUAUGACUGUGAUUUACAAAUUAGGAGUGCACGUGGGCAUUCCCCCAUAGCCUUUUCUGAGAUGAAUCCAGCCAAGACACGAAGCAGAUGAUGGCGGAUCAGCAAAAUCUUCUAGAUGCAGAGAAACCAGAUGUGCUAUGCCUGGGAUGCACCUGCCAGCAAACAGAAGAGCCUUUCUGGUUUGUUCUCAGUGAAGAGUCUGGGUGUUAUAAAAAGGUCUUUGCAUGAGCACUGAGCAGUAACAAAAAAAAGGUCAAAGAAAAUUUAGUUCUUGGACAAAAUGAUUAAUAUUUACAUGUAAUAUUUAAUUAUGUGUUAAAAUAUCAUGUUCAGACAGGCAUAGCAUUUCUGAAUUUCAAAAUAGAGAAGAAGAUUAUAUCCAGAGACAUAUGUAAGACAUAAGCAAGAGCUUCACCUUAAAAAUGGCCAGAUCUCCAUUCAUACCAAGGACGGAGUAAUAGGGAAUUCUUAGAGUAGAUCAGCUGACAACUUGUGCUUAGAAGAAAGCCAUCAUAGAUCAUAGAUGCUGUAUUAAAUUAAACAAAGUUAGUUCUGCAGAGCAAAGUGAAUCAGCUGGGCUUUCUCUUUUAAAUUUCCUAAUUUUAUUCUUAUUAAUAGUCUGAGUGGUAAUCAAUGAAACAUUCCUAUAUCAGAUGUCUUACCUAUCAGAUUCUUUGAUUCAAAAAUCCUCUUCAGUUUUCUGUUAUUAAUCUCUUAAGGAGAUAAAAUAUAAUCAUUUUGUAUUUCAUGAUCAUUAUUUUAGAUAUUUCCAUAAAAGGAAAGAAAAAAGAACAGUAGUUCAGAAAAAUGAACCACCUUAUUUUUUAACUGAUCAAAAUAGAGAUUUUCUUUUAAAUUGUUUAAAUUCCUAGAAAUUAAAUUUUAUUUUUUAUGGUUAUUAUUUAAAGAUAAUAUUUAGAGGAAAAUUGCAGGUUAAAGACUAUUUCAAGAGCUUGGUGGGUUUUUUUUUUUCUUUUUACAAUUUGGCCAAAAUUUCUUCCACUAGAAGAAAAGGAAAGAAGUUGGCUAUUUAAUGUUGAUGAGAAAUACCUUUUAUAGAUAUAUUCUGUACCAUGCCCUUUGUCAGAUGAAUUUUCCUUUGUUAUUCCAAAAACUGAGAUGCUGUAUUGAGUAUCUUGAGGGCAAAGUGGAAUAUUGAUUAAGACAAAUGUUAGAAAUUCUGUUGUUCAUUGAAGUUGUUGCUCAGCUUGAUAAACUGGACAGUAUUCUCAGAUACCCUGUGGGUUAUGAAAGCAUUGUUCUUUGAAAAGUUCUAAUCAUACAAAAAUGUGUGCACAGGCCUGAAAAAGCACCUCGUGUCUGUCUAGGCAGUAGAGCAGAGAUGCAUUCUAAAUGAAAGUUGCCCUGUGGUUUUGUAUAUGUAAUUGCAGUUGACACCUUUUUCCUUUCAGUUACCGUUUGAAAAAGGGACUGUGUGAGAAAGCUGAAUUGGAACCAUGUUAUGAAUCCUGGAAUGUAUGCUCAUGCAACGCUGUGAUCUGCAAACAUAUGUCCUCUGUUCAAUAAAUGUUACAGCUUUCACUGCG
This 1719-nucleotide long non-coding RNA is filed under the name Bos taurus (domestic cattle). RNAcentral's name for it is "long non-coding RNA NONBTAT025839". The record is from RNAcentral. Lineage: Eukaryota; Metazoa; Chordata; Mammalia; Artiodactyla; Bovidae.